This 325-nucleotide unclassified non-coding RNA is filed under the name Hevea brasiliensis (rubber tree). The record is from RNAcentral. Lineage: Eukaryota; Viridiplantae; Streptophyta; Magnoliopsida; Malpighiales; Euphorbiaceae.
UAUAAAGAUGCUUUACAGCUAACUCUCUAUUCUCUGUACGAACAGUUCCGAGAUCCGUACGAAAUAUGAGGGUCUAUCUUAAUGUACUAUCAUCACUGAUGCUUUGCCUUGCUUAAGAUCCGUAAUAAGUCUUCCGACAAAGCUUCAAAUCUAUCUAAAUGAUUUUCUCUUAAGGAUAAACCUCAACUAAUAAAUGACAAAAAUUGAUGCCUCGCCUGGACAAGGCAAAUUUUAUGGAGUCUUCAUUCCGUUUCGAAAUAACUAUCAUAUAUAGAAAGUCGAUCAAAAGCAUCAAAGUUUGCCUUUAGUCCAACAAAUUGACUAC